This 554-nucleotide ribosomal RNA is filed under the name Sarcocystis sp. Its description in RNAcentral is "LSU rRNA". It matches the Rfam family "Eukaryotic large subunit ribosomal RNA", at positions 432 to 918 of the family's 3401-position model. Lineage: Eukaryota; Apicomplexa; Conoidasida; Eucoccidiorida; Sarcocystidae. The record is from RNAcentral.
UUCACUCUUUAACAGGAGGGAAGAAUUUGGGUAAGGCAAUAGAUGUAAGGGACGAGAAUCGUAUUGGAGAGGUCAGCAUCAGUUACGAAGGAAAGAUUAGGGGUGCAGAAGGUAGGUCCCUUGUGGGCUGCUUUAUAGAUGCAUCAUUUUAUCUACUUUUCUUUGUGACUGAGGUGUACUUUUUUGCAUGGAAUUUUCGGGCUACACUCUCUCUCUUUUGAGUGAGUACUCGAGUUCUGUGAUGCUGGCUGAAACGGUUUCAACCGACCCGUCUUGAAACACGGACCAAGGAGUCUAACAUAUGUGCGAGUAUGCGGGUGGCAAACCUGUAUGCGAAAUGAAAGUAAGAGUAGGGAAGAGGGUAACAUCUUUUUAAGGGAUGUUAUGCUCUGCACCUACGACCGACCACGAUCUCAGAGAGAGGUUUGAGUUGGAGCAUAUCUGUUAGGACCCGAAAGAUGGUGAACUAUGCCUGGGUAGAAUGAAGUCAGGGGAAACCCUGAUGGAGGUUCGUAGCGAUACUGACGUGCAAAUCGUUCGUCAAACUUGGGUAU